AUUGAACGCUGGCGGCAUGCCUUACACAUGCAAGUCGAACGGCAGCACGGGAGCUUGCCCCUGGUGGCGAGUGGCGAACGGGUGAGUAAUACAUCGGAACGUACCCAGGAGUGGGGGAUAACGUAGCGAAAGUUACGCUAAUACCGCAUAUUCUGUGAGCAGGAAAGCGGGGGAUCGCAAGACCUCGCGCUCUUGGAGCGGCCGAUGUCGGAUUAGCUAGUUGGUGAGGUAAAAGCUCACCAAGGCGACGAUCCGUAGCAGGUCUGAGAGGAUGAUCUGCCACACUGGGACUGAGACACGGCCCAGACUCCUACGGGAGGCAGCAGUGGGGAAUUUUGGACAAUGGGGGCAACCCUGAUCCAGCCAUGCCGCGUGAGUGAAGAAGGUCUUCGGGUUGUAAAGCUCUUUCGGCGGGGAAGAAAUGGCAACGGCUAAUAUCCGUUGUUGAUGACGGUACCCGCAUAAGAAGCACCGGCUAACUACGUGCCAGCCGCCGCAGUAA
Molecule: ribosomal RNA, 502 nt
Filed under: uncultured bacterium
Lineage: Bacteria
Description: partial 16S ribosomal RNA
Rfam family: Bacterial small subunit ribosomal RNA
Source: RNAcentral